Molecule: long non-coding RNA, 459 nt
Organism: Pantherophis guttatus
Lineage: Eukaryota; Metazoa; Chordata; Lepidosauria; Squamata; Colubridae
Source: RefSeq, a predicted model, not a curated record
UCAACAUUCCAUCUCAUAACAAUGGACUUCCCCAGCUCUGCUGCCCCUCCUGAAGGGCCCAUUUAGCCUCAUAAUAGACCGAAGCUCAGGUACGCAGACUAGGACCUGCCUAGUUUCCCCAAACUAUCCAGCCAAUCAGAUGCCUAGGAUUUCCUUCUUUUAAUCAGAGUCUUUGAACAAUGCCCAGGGCUUAGAAGUGGAGAUGAGCACUGCCCCCCUAGAGUCACACAUGACCGGACAGGAGAGUCAAGGACAUCUUGCCCUGCACCUGGAUGGAUGAAACUGGGAGCCAUCUCCAGUUGGGAAGGUGCUUUGAUUGGACCAUGUGAUGAUGGACUUGUGGGUGUUGGGCAGGGACUUGGACUUUCCUUUGGGUGGGGAAAACCUGGAAACUUUCAGAUUCGGGUUUUCCCACAUGUGCCAAUAUGACAUCUUUAAUAAAAUGGAACUUUGAGGAAA